This 337-nucleotide unclassified non-coding RNA is filed under the name soil metagenome. RNAcentral describes it as "partial contains 5.8S ribosomal RNA, internal transcribed spacer 2, and large subunit ribosomal RNA". The stretch from base 1 to 121 matches the Rfam family "5.8S ribosomal RNA", at positions 35 to 154 of the family's 154-position model. The record is from RNAcentral.
GAUGAAGAACGUAGCGAAUUGCGAUAAGUAAUGUGAAUUGCAGAUUUUCAGUGAAUCAUCGAAUCUUUGAACGCACAUUGCGCCCGCCAGUAUUCUGGCGGGCAUGCCUGUUCGAGCGUCAUUUCAACCAUCAAGCCCCCGGCUUGUGUUGGGGACCUGCGGCUGCCGCAGGCCCUUAAAAGCAGUGGCGGGCUCGCUGUCACACCGAGCGUAGUAGCAUACAUCUCGCUCUGGGCGUGCUGCGGGUUCCGGCCGUUAAACCACCUUCAUAACCCAAGGUUGACCUCGGAUCAGGUAGGAAGACCCGCUGAACUUAAGCAUAUCAAUAAGCGGAGGA